Long non-coding RNA from Sander lucioperca (pikeperch), 259 nucleotides. RefSeq lists it as uncharacterized. NCBI's taxonomy places the organism in Eukaryota, Metazoa, Chordata, Actinopteri, Perciformes, Percidae. The transcript has 2 exons. The record is from RefSeq and is a predicted model, not a curated record.
GGUACGGAUUUACUUACAGUAUGUACCUUUGGAGCCUAAUAAUUACAGUAAACUAACCAAUUAUUAUCAUCUCCAGGAGCCUGGUUGACUGAAACGUUUUUACAGCAGAAUGAGAAUAAACCCAAAGUUAUAUUAUUUAGUCCAAAGCAUAAAACCUAUCUGCUUUAUUUUGUCUUGUCAAGUAGUUUUAAUCAGGCAAAAGUUAACAGGCUCUGUCUAUUGACUCUCUAUUGAUUGAUAUUCUUUCUAAUUUCACCUU